Molecule: long non-coding RNA, 8423 nt
Organism: Heterocephalus glaber (naked mole-rat)
Lineage: Eukaryota; Metazoa; Chordata; Mammalia; Rodentia; Bathyergidae
Source: Ensembl
AGGCGGCGAGACCACUGAGCUAAAUCCCGGCCCAGGUUUUGAUCUAUUGCAGUUGUCAUUUUCAUUGCAGUUCACAGUGUGCUGUCAUUGGCCAGGGCAGCAUCUUCAGGUUGGCUCCUGGGUCAUGUCAGGACAGGAUCCCAGGUCCUCACAUCUGGGAUGGUUCAGUGUUCAUCAUACACCUGUCCUGCUCCAGACCUCAAACCAGCCAUUCCUUCAGAAAGAACUGGUUUCUUCUAGUGGGAAAUGGCAUUGGCAGACCAUGGACUGGGCCUGGGGAGACUGGUUGUCACCAAAGGUUAGGCCUUUCCAGUGGACAGAGUUGGGAAAUGUGUAAACAUAAGACUUUGAGAGUUUCUGUGGAUGUUUCCAGUUCAGGCAAUUGUUCAGGGACACAGGGUUCCUUUGGGUCUUUGCUUCUCAUGUGGAGUUCUCUGAUUUCACCUCAUUUCUAAGUUCUGCCAAUUCUGGUUUAUGUUGUUCUUUAGUGUCCUUUAGCCACGGGAUAUUGCCGUUUUGAUCUGUUUCUGCCAGGAGCUUCCAUACGCCCUCCACAGCCCUGACCUCAGGAUUGUUUGUGUGGACGCUGGAGUGUGUCCCAUGUGGCCCUUUCCCCUAUCAGAUAGGGUCCCGUGAGCUCCUGGGCUAGGGCCUAGUCCAGCCCCUCUGGCUUCUGUCUGGCUGACCCCUUUCUUUGCUUGUAAGUCUGCUCAGGCAGUGGUAAAUCUAGCUGCCAUCCUUUCCAAUAAUUGUUUUUUGUAGUGCUUGGGAUGGAACCCAGGGCCUCAUGCAUGCUAGGCAGCCUCUCUACCAUUGAACUAGCCCCUUCCUUGUAUGCUGUACCCUAGCUGCCUUUCAUAUAUUUGUUGUUUUGCUCAGUGUAACCAAUUUCCCAGCCACUUUGGCUUUUGGGGUCCCUCUGUCAGCAGGAGAGAGUUAUUGGAAAGGCCAACUUUUGAGCUCAGUGGGGCCACGCUUGCCUGGCAAGUGCAAAGCCCUGAAUUUGAUCCCGGUACUGGGAAAAAAAAUUCAGAGUCACUCCAAAGAAUAGGAAAAAGUAUGCAUACUUCCAGCUAACAGGACUGACAGUGGAGUGAGGCUGGGAAGGGUGUAGGACAAAUGGAGGACGCAGAUGAGCAGGAAGAUGUAGGUUGUUGAAGGAAGCUACCAAAUGAAGAAGUCAUGUCAUUAAAGACUUCGGGUGAAGUUUUCUCAUGGUCCUUGGACUUCUAGGAGUACCCAGAGUUUAAAAGAGUUUCUCUGCUAGGAUAUUUCUGUGGGAUAGAAAGUUUUCUUGUCUGCUUUUAAUCUGUAUUUUGAACUUACAGAAAAGUUAAAAUAGUACAGAGUUUCCAAAUACCCCUCACUCUGUUCAUGUAAUGUUAAACAUUGAUGUGAUGCUGUUCACUGAGGACCUUAUUAGAUUUUUUUGGAUUUAAUUUUUAAAAAAUUGAUAAGCUUUGUUCUUUAGAGCAGUUUUAGGUUCACAUACAAAUGAAGAGAGGGCACAGAGUUCCUGUGUGAGCCCCUGCACCCCGCCAAGGGUGCAUCUGUGUUGCCCUGGAUGGCGCUGGCUUCUUGGUGCCCUGGUGCGGAUUCUGUGGGCUUAGAUGUGCAACAGCUGGCAGCCACUGGCACCGUCAUACAGAGCAGUCUCUCUGGCCCAGAGCUUCUCUGUGCUCCCCUUCCCCUAGCACUUGGCGACCUCUCACGUUUUACUGCCGCCAUAGUUGUGCACUUUUCCAGCGUGUCACUCAGCUGAGGGUCACAACACAGGUGGCCUCUUUCAUUCAGCAGUGUGCACAUAAGUUUCCUAAUUUCCUUUCCAUGGACUCCUGGCUUGUGCGUUCAUUUUAUUUUAGCAUGGACUAAUACUCCACUGUCUAGAUGUACAGGUUCAUCCAUUCACCUACUGCAGGGUGUCUUGCUUGCUUCUACGGUUUGAUAAUUAUGAAUGAGGCUACUGUAGACACUGUGUGCUCACGGCUUUUCAGGGGCCUUGGUAAUACCCAGGGGUCAGUACUGAGUCUUAUGGCGGAGGAUGUUCAGUUUGGUAAGACAUGGUCCAGCCAUCUUCCAAAACGCUGUGCGGAGGGAGGCAGGAGGAUUGCUGUGAGUUCAGGGUCAGCCUGGGCUCCAUAGCGAGACCCUGUCUCAAAAAACAAACAAAAAAAGCCAAAUGUCUGUGCCAUUUUGCCUUCCUGCAGGGCGUGAUGAGGAUUCUUUGCGGUGGGUACUCAUAGGUGUGCAGUGGUGUCUCUCUCACUGGUGCUUUGCAUUUCCCUGAUGACUGAUGUGGAGCAUCUUUUCACACGCGCAUCCCCCCUCUGUCGCCCAGGCCUUUUGGCUGCUUUUAAGAUUGAGUUGUUUUCUUUUUUUUGGUACCAGGGAUUGAACUCGGGUCCUUGUACUUGCUGGGCAGGCAGUGGAACCACUGAGCUAAAUCCCCGGCCCUGGGCUGUUUUCUUAUUGUUGAAUUUCAAGAGUUCUUUGUGUACAGUCUUUUGGAUGAGAGCCCUUUAUCAGAUAAGUCUUUUGCAAGUAUUUUCAUUGAUGUCUUACCACCUAGGAUCCCUCACGGGUUUGGUUGUCACAUCUUUGUCCCUUCCACUCUUAAUGGCUUCUAAGUCUUCCCUUGUUUUUCUUUAAAUAGGUAAAUUAGCUCAUUUGUCUUUAUUAAUAUUUGUGACACUGGGGAUUGAACCCAAGGGCUCGCGUGUGUGCUAGACAAGUGCGGCUCCCACUGAGCUACAUUCCCAGUCUCACCAAGGUGGGCAGGCUGGCCUUGAACUCACAGGCCUCAGCCUCCUGAGUAGCUGGGAUUCUGGCAUGCAGAGCACCAUGCUGGCUCUGAAACCUCCUUAACCUCCUGGCCAUGGUCCCCUCUGUUCCCCCUAACUGGAGGCUGACGCAGGCUGCCUUUCCUGCUGCCCCCACAGUCCCGGUGUCCCAGGCUUCCUCUAGUCUCCUGGAGCCCCUGUCGGUAGCCUUGGUGUGGGGACAGCAGGGUGACUGGCUGUCACGCUGUGUCCGCGCUUCCUUCACUAUGCUUGUUUUCGAUGCUAUUGCGUGCUGCCCUGCCUCAUGUCCUGGUUUAAGGCUGGGCACCAGAUUAUUCCUUUGCCUUCCUGAGUUACUCUCUCCUUUCCCCUGUGGCGGAGCCGUCCAGACCGCCCUGCACCUGGGGCUCUUGCAGUGGGCAGGGCUUCCUCAGCCCAGUGUCACUGCUGUGCCUUCCGUGUGUGUAGGCUCAGGCCUCCUUCCCUUGCUUCUCUGCCUUCUAUCCCUGUCAGCUUUUCCUGGUCUCAUUUUCUUUCUAGGGUUUCCUGUCUUGUUUACUUUGUCUCUUUUUCCUGGGGCCUAGUAAUUUACUCAUCUAGAGGAUAAUUUUGUCUCUUUCUCCACAUCUAUCGAGUUCAUUCAACUCUCAUCUCAAGUCUUCCUGGGGUUUUUGUUUUCUAAAUGUUUCCUAGGCUUGGGGCUUUUGAUUCAAGAUGAUUUUUUGUCCUUCAGUGGGAAGUUAAGUAUGUCUUCAUGCAGAGUGUCGCCUCAGGGUUGUCCUCUGUUCUGUCAAAGUGGAACUUGCUCUCAGACUUUCUGCAGUGAGUGUCUCUCCUGGAUUUGCUGGUCCGUCCAGUGUCUCUCUCUCUCAUUCUCUCUCUCUCUCUCUCUCUCUCUCUCUCUCUGUGUGUGUGCGCGCGCGCCUGCACCCCGCUUGGGCAUUUGGGUGCCUGUGAUGUCGUGGCGCCCUCUCCUGGCAGCAUUGUGAAGUCCAGGCUGCCAAGUUUGCUCGCAGCACUGGACUUGCAGAACCCUAACUUCUUUUGCUUCUCCCUCCCUCCUUCACCACACAGCCGUCAAGGGCUCUCCUAGGGACAUUUCAGUUUCCCUCUGCACACUCCUCAGGUCUGGCGCGGGACCCUUUCCUGCAGCCUGUGCUGGUGCCCUGUGUGUGCCCCAGCUUCCCAGGGUGCCUCUGCACCUCACUGCCUGCUGCCUCACUUGAAUUCAGCAGUGUCUGGCGGUACCCUGCUGGGGAGAGUGGUGGCUCUUCCCUCCCUUCGUGAGGUCAUUUUGGACGUGGGCAUCCCCGAGGCCUGUGUGAUGGCCAGGCCCCUGUGCACGUCUUCCCCUCAUUGCUCUCGGUUGUGAGAGGAUAGUAGGCAGCCGGUGCCAUCGUCAGCCUCUUGAGGUGAUGCCGUUUCUUUAGCUGAGUUUUGAGUGCUUUCGUAGCUCUUGAAAGGUCACACAGAUGCUCUGAGGGUGUGGAGCUCUCGCAGAGGGUGGGGGCAGCUCCAGGCAGGCUGCUCCGGCACCCCUGUCCUGGGUGCCACUGACCUGAACUGCUCCUCAGGCAGGGGCAGUCAGUCCAUGCAGGCGAGGACUCUUGACACCCUGGAGAGCUCCCAUCACUGCUUUCACUUUCCCAGAGAGAACUGCCUGUCCUUCAGCCCUGAAGACCGUGGGCCCUGAGCUGCACUUGCUGGCAUCUGGGUUGCAGCUGGUGGUGGUGUUUGUGCCGGGGCCUCUCUCAUCUCAGGUUUGUUUUGGGCUGUUGCUACAUAGCAGGCCACGUGCAGAGGCAGCAGAGGCAGGGCAGCAUCGCUCACCCUCAACCCUCAGCCUUUCUGCUGGGCCCCCAUGGCCACGAGGGGCUUUGGGUGAGCGGGAGUGUGUGUGUGUGUGUGUGUGUGUGUGUAUGUGUGUGCGUGCCCUGCCACACUCCUCCAGCAGUCUGUGGGCGACUGUUCCCACCUCGGCAGGUCCUGGGCUGUGUGUUAGGUUUGCUCACCGUGACCAGGACACCCACAAGCUCUGUGGUCGGAUUUGGGGACAGUGACUGCCAGCCCCUUCUUGGGGCAGAGUACAGCCAUGUGGUCAGAGUGAUUGCAGUACCAAGUAGGACACUGUGAGCAUGCACCUAUGUUUUUUGUAACUUGAGAGAAAUUUAUUUGUGUUUGUGAAAACCCACAGAGCCAUGGGGAUCUGUGGCUUAUAAACAUGCAGUGGCCAUCUCCAUCCACCCCCCUUCCCCCCCCACCCGAGCCUGACACAGAAAGGGCAAGCACCAGGCUGCACAUGGCUGGGCAGAGCUUGCUGUACCCUGGGCUGGUGCUGACACUGGCUCUUCAGCGAGUUUUGGGCACCAAUUUUGAUAUUAUUUAUCUUGAUUCUGACUUUUAGCAUCCCUUAAAUUUUGAGCCUGAGGCGAACACCCUGCCCUCAUGUCAACUUUGGUUUCGGCCACUGAUCCUGAAAGUAGAGACAUGAAAUACAGCCCAUUCUGCUGGCAGCUCAUGGAUGCCCGCCUGCUGCCAGGUGGAGUCUCCUGGGGCCUGCCCACGUGCCCCGCUGCAACUGCCUGAGCUUCCUUUCACCACCUCCUGGUUGAGCAGAUGGGUUUGUAACUGGCAGCAAGAGUGGAAGCCACAUCUGUAAACGGAGGCCGGGGUAGAGCCUAGCCCGGUCAGCAUGCUGAGGAGGCCCUGCCGCUCCGGUGCCUGUGCAGUCUGGCGUCCUCCGGACCCCGGGGAAAAGAGGCCGCCUUCCUCCCACUGCGCUGUCGCCGGCCCCCUUCCCUCCUGGCUUUUUUUCUUCCAGAAACUGGCUUAUAGCUGUGUCCAGAGCAUCAGGUGCCCCUCGGGAGAAGCCCACACUUCUGCCGGCUGGGCUGUGGCCCCGGGUGGCUUCGUGGAGAUGAACUGUUUCCUUCGUCCCUUCUGACUGCUUAUUCUCACCCCAGCCUUCCAAGGGCUCAGCCUGUCUCUGCGCAAAAUGUGCUCUGCAGAGGCUGUCCGGGAGUCUGAAGGACGCUGCCGAGAAAGCCCUAGGAGCUCGCUCACACAAGAGGAAGUGGCCAUGAAGGUGGUGUGGUGGGAGACCACUGACGACUGACUGCCCAGGCUGGCCGCUCAGAGUGAGCGCACCUCUGCUCCGCCUGUCCAGGCGCAUAAGGAAGCGGCCCCAGUCCGCACCUUCCCCGCUCCGCACCGCGCCCGCCGUGUGCCCACAGGGUGGAUGCAGCGGGACAGACCUCCGUCCGGCCUCAUCUGUCUGUCGCUGGCGGCCGUGGGCUCCUGCAGCGAGCGCUCGCUCCUCACUUCCUCAAGGGUGGUUGUUACGUCAGCUCCUUAAGCCCUGACAGAGAACGCACAGGAAAAGUGUCGCUGCCAUGUGUGCUCCUGGACAGCCAGCCGCAGGCCCUAUCGCCACCGGGACACAGGCACUAGUUCCCUCUGCCACAUGGAAGCGUGAGCCGCCGUUGGGACUCCGGGACGGACGUGGUGAUGUGAUAGAGCCACAGACCCUGCUGCCUAGCCAUGACCCUGCAUUCCGCACGUCCGGCCCCAGCAGCUCCGCCCUCAGUGGCAGGAAGGCAUCCAGCUGGCUUGCGGGAUGGCCGCCUGCCUCGGGGCUGGGUAUCUGUGCAGUGGGGUCACUGUUGUAACCGCUGAGCAGUGGGCCUCCACAGCUGGCCGCCAGUCCGCCCAGCCCAGGAGUUGAGACCUAGUGUCCUUACUGGCCACGCAGGGAUGACACAGCCAGGUGUGGAUCGGGCAUGGGCCUCGGUCUCCUCACCUGAGCCCUCGGGCAGCCUUGCUGGUCACACAGAGGUCGGCCGGCUGCACACCCCGGAGUUGUCCAGCUGCUUACCUGGGGCGUGAGCCCCCGCUUGUCUGCCCGCGUGUCCAGGCCAGAGUGUGAGCUGUGUGGGGCCUCGAAGGGUGGUGGUCUGAGUGUGCCCUAGAGUGGGGGCCUGCUGCCCUCGCCCCGCUAGGGACUCGGACCACACACCAGCCCAAGCCGUAGCCUGUUGGAAGGAGCCUGUGCCAUGCCAGCUUCCUCCAGAAUCGGGGUCCUUGGGACACAUUUGGGGGACACUUGAGUUGCCCCUUCCUUCCCUACUUUCUGCAGCCCACCUCUGAGCGCCACUAAUGCAACUGUCUUCUCCUUUCUCGUCACCAGGGCUCGGGCCCAGGCGCGCGGCAGUCCCAGGCAGCUCCGGCGUGGCAACCCCCAGACAGUUCACGCGGCAAAGAAUCACGCUGGUCAACCUCAGGGACCUCAUAUUUUGUUUAGAAAAUGAGCGCGAGACAAGCCAUUCACUGUUGCUCUACAAAGCAUUCCUUAAGUGACACAGGAGGGAGCACGGUGUUUUUGACGAGACGCCUGGGGACAUUUUUAUAUAUUUGCAGAUUACGCCUUUUUGUAAGAAGCAAAUGGGAUAUUGUUUAAAAACAGCCACUUCUUUACAAUGGAACAGUUUUAUAUUCCCGUUUCUAAAUCAGCUCAGUGUGGAAGAAAACCUGUUUCUGCAGCAGAGAGAAUACAGAGGCCUGUGGAUACUCCUAAAGGACAACUAAACCCGAGCUCAUCCUUGAUUGAGUGGCCUUCUUGCCAAACAAGCCAUAUAUAAAGACUGAUGGAAUCGCUUAGCAAAUAACUCGCUGCGCUCUGUCACCGUGUAGCAGUUUCUACCUUAUUUGUGCGUUUUGGUUUAGUUGAGCCUAACUUACUGCGUAGGUGUGUGUCUGCAGCCGAUGACCUCCUUUCACUUAUUUUAUUUUUGUAAUAGUCAGUUGGCAAAGCAAACUGAUUUUUAGACUAUUUAUCUCCCUUCCUUCCCCUCCCCUCCCCUCAAAACUCUCCAGGAACACACAGUUCAUUGCAGCUCCGUCACCUUGGAGGGUGACCGCAUUUCUGCUCGGUGGAGGCUGGGAGUCCAGCCGGGGCGGGCUCCUCUGAAUGUGCUCAGCAUCUGUACAAAUGCAUUUUGUUUGCUACAGUUUGUGAAGCUGUAAAGUUAAGAGAAAUGAGAACCUUUUCAGCAUAAAUAUAUUUUACUUGCACUGUGUUUUUUAGCUACAAGUGAAAACUUAGAUUAAAUAAAAUCAGAGUUGAGAAGAAUCAUCAAGAGACUGUUUCUCAGUGUGAAUCAAGUGUUGAAAAAUGGUUGGUGUAUUUUGUCAGUAAUUGUACAUAACUUUUGGCACAUAACAUAAAAUGGCUAUGUAAACUAUAAUUAUUUUGCUAAGAGACUGUAUGCAAGCUGUGGGCCGACUUUACAGACGCCCAGAGCAAAGCCCCUUCUUUGUACCUAUUUUUUUAUUACAAAUAUACUAAUUGGUUCUUUAUAUUUUCAGAGGUUAUUGUAUUAAAUUGUCUAUUGAUAGUACUUUUAUGAUUGUAAAUACUUGGCUUUCUCCGUGUGAAUUCUCACAUUAGACUUUAAUUCGCGCGUGUGAACUGAACACUGAUCAGUAUUUUUUAUCAACACCUGAGAACUGUUACACCUUUUAUUUUAUCUUUUAGAAAAUCCCUGUCUUUCCAUUUUUUCAUGUAAAUUUUGCACAGUUACUUGUUCAUAUGUAAAUAUUUUACUUUCAAAAAAUGAAGUUUUUAAUUGCUAUUGUUUUAUAGAG